GUUGGGGAAGGUUUUUCUGCAAAGUCAUGUGACUUCAAGGAAUCAUCACACCCUGCUCAUAAAUAGCCAGCUUGGUACUUUCGAUUUGCAGAACUGACUGCAAACCCAGAGGCUUCAGUACUCAGAGGGGAUCAGUGCUGGUGUGAAGGUGAUCCUGCACAAGGACAUGUCUUUGUAACUGUCCUCUUGUUGGUGAAUACACAGCAAUCUUCUAAGGGUAUUAGGAUUUCUCGGAGCAGACAUUGUAACAGAUAGUUGCAGAGUUUCUUCUGUGUUUUAACUACAACCUCUUAACCAUUAUUUUAACACUGAGACACACGACUCCCUUUAAUUCGUUAACAAACACAUUUGUAAGAAUUCUG
This is a long non-coding RNA of Ictalurus punctatus (channel catfish), 362 nucleotides long. NCBI's taxonomy places the organism in Eukaryota, Metazoa, Chordata, Actinopteri, Siluriformes, Ictaluridae. The record is from Ensembl.